AUGAACGCUGGCGGCGUGCCUAAUACAUGCCCGUCGAGCGAACGGAUGAGAAGCUUGCUUCUCUGAUGUUAGCGGCGGACGGGUGAGUAACACGUGGAUAACCUACCUAUAAGACUGGGAUAACUUCGGGAAACCGUAGCUAAUACCGGAUAAUAUUUUGAACCGCAUGGUUCAAAAGUGAAAGACGGUCUUGCUGUCACUUAUAGAUGGAUCCGCGCUGCAUUAGCUAGUUGGUAAGGUAACGGCUUACCAAGGCAACGAUGCAUAGCCGACCUGAGAGGGUGAUCGGCCACACUGGAACUGAGACACGGUCCAGACUCCUACGGGAGGCAGCAGUAGGGAAUCUUCCGCAAUGGGCGAAAGCCUGACGGAGCAACGCCGCGUGAGUGAUGAAGGUCUUCGGAUCGUAAAACUCUGUUAUUAGGGAAGAACAUAUGUGUAAGUAACUGUGCACAUCUUGACGGUACCUAAUCAGAAAGCCACGGCUAACUACGUG
Molecule: ribosomal RNA, 496 nt
Filed under: uncultured bacterium
Lineage: Bacteria
Description: partial 16S ribosomal RNA
Rfam family: Bacterial small subunit ribosomal RNA
Source: RNAcentral